This 557-nucleotide ribosomal RNA is filed under the name uncultured bacterium. Its description in RNAcentral is "bacterial SSU rRNA". It matches the Rfam family "Bacterial small subunit ribosomal RNA", at positions 102 to 694 of the family's 1533-position model. The record is from RNAcentral.
ACGGGUGAGUAACGCGUGGGAACGUGCCCUUCGGUUCGGAAUAACUCAGGGAAACUUGAGCUAAUACCGGAUACGUGCGAGAGCAGAAAGGUUUACUGCCGAAGGAUCGGCCCGCGUCUGAUUAGCUAGUUGGUGAGGUUAUGGCUCACCAAGGCGACGAUCAGUAGCUGGUCUGAGAGGAUGAUCAGCCACACUGGGACUGAGACACGGCCCAGACUCCUACGGGAGGCAGCAGUGGGGAAUAUUGGACAAUGGGGGCAACCCUGAUCCAGCCAUGCCGCGUGAGUGAUGACGGCCUUAGGGUUGUAAAGCUCUUUUCUUCGGGACGAUAAUGACGGUACCGGAGGAAUAAGCCCCGGCUAACUUCGUGCCAGCAGCCGCGGUAAUACGAAGGGGGCUAGCGUUGCUCGGAAUCACUGGGCGUAAAGGGCGCGUAGGCGGCUGAUUUAGUCGAGGGUGAAAGCCCGUGGCUCAACCACGGAAUGGCCUUCGAUACUGAUUGGCUUGAGACCGGAAGAGGACAGCGGAACUGCGAGUGUAGAGGUGAAAUUCGUAGA